GCCGGAGUGGCGGAACUGGUAGACGCAGCGGACUUAAAAUCCGCUGUCCUUAUAUAGGACGUGCCGGUUCGAGUCCGGCCUCCGGCA
This 87-nucleotide transfer RNA is filed under the name bacterium. RNAcentral describes it as "tRNA-Leu". It matches the Rfam family "tRNA". From Rfam's summary of the family: Transfer RNA (tRNA) molecules are approximately 80 nucleotides in length. Their secondary structure includes four short double-helical elements and three loops (D, anti-codon, and T loops). RNAcentral also lists the same sequence under 2 other names. The record is from RNAcentral.